Molecule: ribosomal RNA, 2562 nt
Filed under: Escherichia coli
Lineage: Bacteria; Pseudomonadati; Pseudomonadota; Gammaproteobacteria; Enterobacterales; Enterobacteriaceae
Description: partial 23S ribosomal RNA
Rfam family: Bacterial large subunit ribosomal RNA
Source: RNAcentral
CUGUGAGCUCGAUGAGUAGGGCGGGACACGUGGUAUCCUGUCUGAAUAUGGGGGGACCAUCCUCCAAGGCUAAAUACUCCUGACUGACCGAUAGUGAACCAGUACCGUGAGGGAAAGGCGAAAAGAACCCCGGCGAGGGGAGUGAAAAAGAACCUGAAACCGUGUACGUACAAGCAGUGGGAGCACAGAGCAAUCUGUGUGACUGCGUACCUUUUGUAUAAUGGGUCAGCGACUUAUAUUCUGUAGCAAGGUUAACCGAAUAGGGGAGCCGAAGGGAAACCGAGUCUUAACUGGGCGUUAAGUUGCAGGGUAUAGACCCGAAACCCGGUGAUCUAGCCAUGGGCAGGUUGAAGGUUGGGUAACACUAACUGGAGGACCGAACCGACUAAUGUUGAAAAAUUAGCGGAUGACUUGUGGCUGGGGGUGAAAGGCCAAUCAAACCGGGAGAUAGCUGGUUCUCCCCGAAAGCUAUUUAGGUAGCGCCUCGUGAAUUCAUCUCCGGGGGUAGAGCACUGUUUCGGCAAGGGGGUCAUCCCGACUUACCAACCCGAUGCAAACUGCGAAUACCGGAGAAUGUUAUCACGGGAGACACACGGCGGGUGCUAACGUCCGUCGUGAAGAGGGAAACAACCCAGACCGCCAGCUAAGGUCCCAAAGUCAUGGUUAAGUGGGAAACGAUGUGGGAAGGCCCAGACAGCCAGGAUGUUGGCUUAGAAGCAGCCAUCAUUUAAAGAAAGCGUAAUAGCUCACUGGUCGAGUCGGCCUGCGCGGAAGAUGUAACGGGGCUAAACCAUGCACCGAAGCUGCGGCAGCGACGCUUAUGCGUUGUUGGGUAGGGGAGCGUUCUGUAAGCCUGUGAAGGUGUACUGUGAGGUAUGCUGGAGGUAUCAGAAGUGCGAAUGCUGACAUAAGUAACGAUAAAGCGGGUGAAAAGCCCGCUCGCCGGAAGACCAAGGGUUCCUGUCCAACGUUAAUCGGGGCAGGGUGAGUCGACCCCUAAGGCGAGGCCGAAAGGCGUAGUCGAUGGGAAACAGGUUAAUAUUCCUGUACUUGGUGUUACUGCGAAGGGGGGACGGAGAAGGCUAUGUUGGCCGGGCGACGGUUGUCCCGGUUUAAGCGUGUAGGCUGGUUUUCCAGGCAAAUCCGGAAAAUCAAGGCUGAGGCGUGAUGACGAGGCACUACGGUGCUGAAGCAACAAAUGCCCUGCUUCCAGGAAAAGCCUCUAAGCAUCAGGUAACAUCAAAUCGUACCCCAAACCGACACAGGUGGUCAGGUAGAGAAUACCAAGGCGCUUGAGAGAACUCGGGUGAAGGAACUAGGCAAAAUGGUGCCGUAACUUCGGGAGAAGGCACGCUGAUAUGUAGGUGAAGUCCCUCGCGGAUGGAGCUGAAAUCAGUCGAAGAUACCAGCUGGCUGCAACUGUUUAUUAAAAACACAGCACUGUGCAAACACGAAAGUGGACGUAUACGGUGUGACGCCUGCCCGGUGCCGGAAGGUUAAUUGAUGGGGUUAGCGCAAGCGAAGCUCUUGAUCGAAGCCCCGGUAAACGGCGGCCGUAACUAUAACGGUCCUAAGGUAGCGAAAUUCCUUGUCGGGUAAGUUCCGACCUGCACGAAUGGCGUAAUGAUGGCCAGGCUGUCUCCACCCGAGACUCAGUGAAAUUGAACUCGCUGUGAAGAUGCAGUGUACCCGCGGCAAGACGGAAAGACCCCGUGAACCUUUACUAUAGCUUGACACUGAACAUUGAGCCUUGAUGUGUAGGAUAGGUGGGAGGCUUUGAAGUGUGGACGCCAGUCUGCAUGGAGCCGACCUUGAAAUACCACCCUUUAAUGUUUGAUGUUCUAACGUUGACCCGUAAUCCGGGUUGCGGACAGUGUCUGGUGGGUAGUUUGACUGGGGCGGUCUCCUCCUAAAGAGUAACGGAGGAGCACGAAGGUUGGCUAAUCCUGGUCGGACAUCAGGAGGUUAGUGCAAUGGCAUAAGCCAGCUUGACUGCGAGCGUGACGGCGCGAGCAGGUGCGAAAGCAGGUCAUAGUGAUCCGGUGGUUCUGAAUGGAAGGGCCAUCGCUCAACGGAUAAAAGGUACUCCGGGGAUAACAGGCUGAUACCGCCCAAGAGUUCAUAUCGACGGCGGUGUUUGGCACCUCGAUGUCGGCUCAUCACAUCCUGGGGCUGAAGUAGGUCCCAAGGGUAUGGCUGUUCGCCAUUUAAAGUGGUACGCGAGCUGGGUUUAGAACGUCGUGAGACAGUUCGGUCCCUAUCUGCCGUGGGCGCUGGAGAAUUGAGGGGGGCUGCUCCUAGUACGAGAGGACCGGAGUGGACGCAUCACUGGUGUUCGGGUUGUCAUGCCAAUGGCACUGCCCGGUAGCUAAAUGCGGAAGAGAUAAGUGCUGAAAGCAUCUAAGCACGAAACUUGCCCCGAGAUGAGUUCUCCCUGACUCCUUGAGAGUCCUGAAGGAACGUUGAAGACGACGACGUUGAUAGGCCGGGUGUGUAAGCGCAGCGAUGCGUUGAGCUAACCGGUACUAAUGAACCGUGAGGCUUAACCUUACAACGCCGAAG